CGAUGUGGAGCGAAACCCGAAAAGANACCCCCAGUUCGGAUUGCAGGCUGAAAUUCGCCUGCAUGAAGCCGGAAUUGCUAGUAAUGGCAGGUCAGCAUACUGCCGUGAAUACGUUCCCGGGCCUUGUACACACCGCCCGUCACACCAUGAGAGUUGGGGAUACCCGAAGCCUGUGAGCCAACAAUAUAUUGAGGCAGCAGUCGAAGGUAGAAUCAAUGAUUGGGGUGAAGUCGUAACAAGGUACC
Molecule: ribosomal RNA, 245 nt
Filed under: uncultured bacterium
Lineage: Bacteria
Description: partial 16S ribosomal RNA
Rfam family: Bacterial small subunit ribosomal RNA
Source: RNAcentral